Mercenaria mercenaria is the source of this 1390-nucleotide long non-coding RNA. RefSeq lists it as uncharacterized. The record is from RefSeq and is a predicted model, not a curated record. Lineage: Eukaryota; Metazoa; Mollusca; Bivalvia; Venerida; Veneridae. The transcript has 5 exons.
GUUGUAGGCAGUCGUUGGCGGACAAAGGAGGACAAAGAACGAACACAGGAAGGAAGCUUGGGAGCCAGAGACACUGUAUUUCCCAUGGAAAUGCGAAAUGGUGCCAGUCCUUCAGUAGGGACAUUGAGGGAGCCAAACACGGUGCAAGUCCUGUAUGUUCUCUGCCUUCAAUCUUCUAGACCUCUACUGCUGGUGUAUUCUGUUCUUUUGGCACAGACAGUAUUUGGAGAGACUGGCAAAAAAUGACUGAUGAAUAAAACUACAACAACAACAGUUGAGCAGCAUCAGAUCAGCUAACUCAGACGCUGAACUACCAGUAGCUGCUGGAAAUGUGGGACAGAUUUAGCAUUGAAUAACUUCCAGCUGGAUCUUGUCUGGAACUUUCUAGAGUUCAUUUGAACCACAUCUGUACAGUCAACACUAUAAUUCAGAUCUGUCGUAGGGUUCAUGGAGGUCAUAGCCAACAUAAUACAUGCCCCUGUUCCAAGAGUCAUUCCUGCAAACCAGAACCAAACUGAUGGAUAAAGUAUCAGCUAAUUCAUUUGUCCCUUGCUUGAAGCUGCUUCCCAUGGAACUUUUUUACGAAGUCAUUGACUGUCGACAUGGCAUGAUGACGGAAUGCACUGAUCAGACCAAGUUUCUUGCUGUUUCCUGGCAGCCAGUGGAAGAGCUGAGAAUACCAGUGCAAGUCAAGUGUUGAAUUUUCCACAAAAUAGCACAGAUUUCAAGCAUUGUUUCUCUCUGGUCAGAAAAAAAGUUGGAGAAAUAACUUAUCAAUGAUAUAUUCCUGUCAGUUAGUGAUGAUUGAUCACAGACUGAAUGCUACCAUGGGUCUACUGGCAAGCUGGAAAGAUACAAAGAUAAAGAUAAUUUAUUAAACUUACUGAAUAUGACAUUAGAGAAUAUUCAGUUGUGAAAGUGAAAUAGGCAUUAAAAAUAUUAAGAUCAAGUGCAAAUUUGAUGGUUCAUGAUUACUGAAUGUAACAUUAAAGGAUGUUCAAGUGUUGACAGUGAAAUAGACACUAAACAUUAAAGAUCAAGUUGUGGUUCAAGAUGAAAUACUGAAAAGAUCAACACCAGCAUGUUAACAAUAAUGUUACAAUUUAUUUUAUGGCAUUUAGAAUCCUAGCAUUAAUAUGAAUUUCGAUAUUGUACUUGCCAACAUUCUCUAUCUUUGCUCCAUCACGCUCACAUGAGACUUUAAUUGACAAGAUCCUUGUUAGGUAGCUUUCAGUGUAUUCUAACAAUUUUGGCAUAAACACUGCUGUAACAUCAGUUAGUUGAUCAAUGGCAAAAUAACACCAAUUGGCUCAGUUUUGACUCUGUAUGUACACUCACAACCAAGGCACUGAAAACCAAGGCAGUCUUUGUAUUAAAAUUUGAAGUGUUA